Molecule: ribosomal RNA, 234 nt
Filed under: uncultured bacterium
Lineage: Bacteria
Description: partial 16S ribosomal RNA
Rfam family: Bacterial small subunit ribosomal RNA
Source: RNAcentral
GAUCCUGGCUCAGGAUAAACGCUGGCGGCGCACAUAAGACAUGCAAGUCGAACGGAAGUCGUUAUAAAAAGGAUUGAAGAUUUAUCUGAUUGAGAUUUUAUAACAAUGGCUUUAGUGGCGGACUGGUGAGUAACGCGUGAGCAACCUGCCUACUAGAGGGGAAUAACAGUGAGAAAUCAUUGCUAAUACCGCAUAUGCCAUGAACAUCACAUGACGAAAAUGGGAAAAGAGUAA